Molecule: transfer RNA, 76 nt
Filed under: Bacillota bacterium
Lineage: Bacteria; Bacillati; Bacillota
Description: tRNA-Lys
Rfam family: tRNA
About the family: Transfer RNA (tRNA) molecules are approximately 80 nucleotides in length. Their secondary structure includes four short double-helical elements and three loops (D, anti-codon, and T loops). Further hydrogen bonds mediate the characteristic L-shaped molecular structure. tRNAs have two regions of fundamental functional importance: the anti-codon, which is responsible for specific mRNA codon recognition, and the 3' end, to which the tRNAs corresponding amino acid is attached (by aminoacyl-tRNA synthetases). tRNAs cope with the degeneracy of the genetic code in two manners: having more than one tRNA (with a specific anti-codon) for a particular amino acid; and 'wobble' base-pairing, i.e. permitting non-standard base-pairing at the 3rd anti-codon position.
Source: RNAcentral
GGGUCAUUAGCUCAGGCGGUAGAGCACCUGACUUUUAAUCAGGGUGACCGGGGUUCGAAUCCCCGAUGGUUCACCA